CAGGUCGGGGCUAGGCUGGCGACGCACCUUUGCAAGGCGGGGGUUAGGGGUUCGAUUCCCCUCGUCUCCACCA
RNAcentral lists this transfer RNA (73 nucleotides) under Jiangella alba. Its description in RNAcentral is "tRNA_Pseudo_???". Lineage: Bacteria; Bacillati; Actinomycetota; Actinomycetes; Jiangellales; Jiangellaceae. The record is from RNAcentral.